This 94-nucleotide ribosomal RNA is filed under the name Aphidius transcaspicus. RNAcentral's name for it is "partial 5.8S ribosomal RNA". The record is from RNAcentral. Lineage: Eukaryota; Metazoa; Arthropoda; Insecta; Hymenoptera; Braconidae.
UUGCGGGAGGAGCAGGGCCCAAUGACAAUCGGCAUUUGGAUCGCCCAUUGAGGUCCACGGAUCCAUUUCCCGGGCCACACCUAGGGGGGGGGUC